GGACUACUGGGGUAUCUAAUCCCGUUUGCUCCCCUAGCUUUCGCGCAUCAGCGUCAGAAGAGGUCCAGCAGCUCGCUUUCGCCACCGGCGUUCCUUCCGAUAUCAACGCAUUUCACCGCUCCACCGGAAGUUCCAGCUGCCCCUACCUCCCUCCAGCCAAUCAGUAUCCAAGGCACUUUUCCGGUUAAGCCGAAAGAUUUCACCCCAGACUUGAUUGACCGCCUACGCGCCCUUUAAGCCCAGUGAUUCCGAACAACGUUCGCACGGUUCGUCUUACCGCGGCUGCUGGCAC
RNAcentral lists this ribosomal RNA (292 nucleotides) under uncultured Planctomycetota bacterium. RNAcentral describes it as "uncultured planctomycete partial 16S ribosomal RNA". Lineage: Bacteria; Pseudomonadati; Planctomycetota. The record is from RNAcentral.